AUUGAACGCUGGCGGCAGGCCUAACACAUGCCAGUCGAGCGGAUGAAGGGAGCUUGCUCCUGGCUUCAGCGGCGGACGGGUGAGUAAUGCCUAGGAAUCUGCCUGCUAGUGGGGGAUAACGUCCGGAAACGGGCGCUAAUACCGCAUACGUCCUGAGGGAGAAAGUGGGUGAUCUUCGGACCUCACGCUAUCAGAUGAGCCUAGGUCGGCUUAGCUAGUUGGUGGGGUAAAGGCCUACCAAGGCGACGAUCCGUAACUGGUCUGAGAGGAUGAUCAGUCACACUGGAACUGAGACACGGUCCAGACUCCUACGGGAGGCAGCAGUGGGGAAUAUUGGACAAUGGGCGAAAGCCUGAUCCAGCCAUGCCGCGUGUGUGAAGAAGGUCUUCGGAUUGUAAAGCACUUCAAGUUGGGAGGAAGGGCAGUAAGUUAAUACCUUGCUGUUGUGACGUUACCAACAGAAUAAGCACCGGCUAACUUCGUG
This 484-nucleotide ribosomal RNA is filed under the name uncultured bacterium. RNAcentral describes it as "partial 16S ribosomal RNA". It matches the Rfam family "Bacterial small subunit ribosomal RNA", at positions 30 to 507 of the family's 1533-position model. The record is from RNAcentral.